This 480-nucleotide ribosomal RNA is filed under the name uncultured bacterium. Its description in RNAcentral is "partial 16S ribosomal RNA". It matches the Rfam family "Bacterial small subunit ribosomal RNA", at positions 28 to 507 of the family's 1533-position model. The record is from RNAcentral.
GAUGAACGCUAGCGGCAGGCCUAACACAUGCAAGUCGAGGGGUAGAAGGAGCUUGCUCCUUUGAGACCGGCGCACGGGUGCGUAACGCGUAUGCAAUCUACCUUGUACAGGGGAAUAGCCCAGAGAAAUUUGGAUUAAUGCCCCAUAGUAUAUAACCUUCGCAUGUUGGUUAUAUUAAAGUUCCAACGGUACAAGAUGAGCAUGCGUCCCAUUAGUUAGUUGGUAAGGUAACGGCUUACCAAGACGAUGAUGGGUAGGGGUCCUGAGAGGGAGAUCCCCCACACGGGUACUGAGACACGGACCAGGCUCCUACGGGAGGCAGCAGUGAGGAAUAUGGGUCAAUGGUCGCAAGACUGAACCAGCCAUGCCGCGUGCAGGAAGACGGUCCUAUGGAUUGUAAACUGCUUUUAUACAGGAAGAAACCCUCCCACGUGUGGGAGCUUGACGGUACUGUAGGAAUAAGGAUCGGCUAACUCCGUG